CGCGCUUGUUAGGCGGCGCGGGCGCGGGAGCAGGUGCCCAGCAGCAGGUGCCCGGCAGCAGCCCGCACCGCACCGCACCGCGCCGCGCAGGAGCGGAGGGGCUCGAGCGAGAGGCGCGGUCCCGGCCGUAAGCAAGAAACUUUCCUCGCUCACAGAGCCCUCUUGGAGCAGCACGGCGCCCCGCUGCCAGGGAGCUCCUGGCGCCGGUCCGGCCCCGCCGCCCUUCUGGUUGCGGAGAGGCGCUCCCGGCCCGACGGACCCCGCGCCGCGUCCGUGCCGGAGGUGCCGCCAAAUCCGGACCGGAGCAGAAGGGAUUCACUGUGAACUAUGAGCGCUGCGACAAAAGUUUUCUAAGUGACAGAUGCGUGCAUAAGUAAACUUGUAUGCAGAAAUUAAAAUCAACUGGAGUUGGUAGCAUCCUCUCUGGAAGUUAAAUAUCGUUCAAAGCUGGGGCGGCACGGGGGUCGGGUUGCGCGUAGCCGAUGGCCUCGGACCGUGCGGGAGUCGGGUAUCGCUGCGGGACGGGCAGCAGCACCGAGGCGGCCGGGGGCAGCGCGACUGCGGCAAGGAGACGGGGGAAGGAAGACGGGCGGAGCGGCAUCGGAGAUAGCAGAAAGAAAAACUCUACUGAGAAGUGUGAAAAGAAAAGGAGGGGGAGGAGCCGCCCACAUGCUGCCAGGAGCCGUCCCGCUGGCAGCUUCUGCUCUCUGCUGUAUCGCUGCCGAACUGGGCGCCAAGACAGGACAUAUGCAAAAUCAUUUCACUGUGGCACAAACACAAGAAACAUGAUUUGGAAGAAAGGACAGGGGCCAGAGUGUCUGUCUCUUAUUCUCCCACUCGCAUUGCUGCAAACUGGAGUAGAAGAGUACUUGGGAGCAGAGAAAGGCACCCUUCUAUCUCUCCCCUCAUUGCAGCUCUGGAGUGAAAGGCACUGUCUACAGCUGACAGCUGUUCUGACAGAAGACCUUCUGAUGUCCCCCACACCACAGCCUGAGAAGCAGCCUGGCAGCCAGGCUAUAGGGAUCCCUCGUUUAUCAGUUAUUUGAUUCAUUCCAUUCAGGCUGAUACAUCUUCCUGGCUUCGUUGCUGUUUGAUUUAACUUCUGUUUCUAGCAUCUGUAGUGGAUUCUUUUAUGUACAACCACCUAAAACCAUGUCUUGUACACAGGUAGCAAAAGCAGUGAUUUGAUAGCGUGGUGUGCAUUUUGGCAAUGUACUUUAUCAAAGAUGUAUUUUGCCUGCAGCAAAACGAGCUGUCAGCUGUUACAAUGAACUGUCACAUAUUCACAUUUUAAUAUGAAAAAUAAUUAUUCCUCCGUUUCUAUUAAACAGCUACCUAUUCUUCAGGCUGGAAAUCAGAACUGCUUUCACAGAGUAUCCAGCUCGCUACUGAAAAGAUUAAAUGGGUCGAGUGUAACACUGUAAAUAUGAUCAAGGCAAAAAGCCAGUCAAUAAAACUGACGGUUUUAUCCUAAUAAAGCAGGGAGGCCUCUGCCAUUUCUCUGUGGCAGAUAGUUAAUUGUCCAGCUGUACGCAACAACUUCAGGACAUCUGGCCACUUAACCAAAGAGUACAAGGUUUGGAAUGCCAAAGGACCCAUAAGUGAAAUAAUGAGUGGUCUGACUCAUUUAUAGUGAAGUCCCUGCACACGGCUCUGACAUCAGUGGUCAAAGCUAAAUUAACGUGACUGCAAGUACUGCUCUUACUUCAUCCCCAACACCUGCCUUAAGAUACAGCUGGGUGCACCAAGAGCAGCAGUGGUCCCAGCUGGGACACAGACACAACAGUCUCAGCCGAGAUAGGGUGGCUGCCUACUGCUCUGCUCUGCAACAAGGUUGUGGCUUACCUGUAUCCUAAUUUAGGAUGAAGAAUGAGUUUGAAAAGUAUGACAAACAUACAGUGCAGUCAACACUUGGUACUGCCUCUGCGUAAAAUUAUGAUUCUUUGCUUCAGUCACCCUAAAAGCAGCUUCAGCCCAGGCUGAAACAUAGUGGAGUUAUACAACUAACCCAGCCAUCUCCUCCCCCUGCAAGCCCUUCCGUGAGACCACAGGUAGUACUGCACACACAGAGAUCACCUUGCUUUAUCAUACACAUGAAACUAACUUUUGUUGUUAUAGUUCAGGGCUUAAAAAUAGACUUGAUGUAUGGAUUUUCUGUUUUAUAGGCAGAGGAAAGAUUCAAUAUAUUGAUUUGAGCUGUAAGGCUUACUUCAUUCAGGGUGCAAUCAAAGCAUGUGGAUUUCUACAACUUUGGGUGCACAGUUUUGGUCAGACUGCAGGUGCAGAAGUUGUUAGGCAAGCCUGCAGGAGCAUGUUAGUGGGCAACGCUGACAUGUCUGCAUGCUUUCAUUCCUAAAAUGAUCCCAUGUCUUGUGCUUUUAGUGAAUUCAUUUCCUCCAGGAUAGCUCUAGAGAGCAGUUCAGAGACACCUUCCAAUAAGGUAACUUCCCUCACUGCCAUUUUAUCAAGACUUAACAUCACUCCUUUCCAUGUGGUGAGUUUAAUGCAGGUAUCUUUGUUAUCUCACAAGAAAGGCAGUGAUGAACUUGGAAGGCCAAGAAGCUUUGGUGAUUCUCCUCCCCUGCCUGUACUCUCAGGAUCAAUUAUAAGGAGGCUAGGCUACUGCAUAUGCAAUUUACUGGAGAAGUGAUAGGAAGUUUUACCAGCUUACCUGUUUCAUUCUACUAGCAAGUUAUCACACAGCAGCCCCCAGGCACCCCCAGACUACAGAGGGCUUCCUAAAUACAGGAAUGAAGCAUUAACCCAUCACACAGAGAAGGAAAAUAAGAUAAGGACACUGCAAGCCAGGGGUAAAAACAGGACAAGACACCAAAUAUCCCUCUUCUCAAGGUGAAUUUCUCCUCUACUGAAAUGGACGACUGUCCAUCACCCACCAUUUUGCUUAUGCUUGUUCAGUUGCAAAGAAAUCUAUCUGAUGAAGUGAAACACCACCUCCAAGAAAUGAGGUAGCCGUUAAGUGAGAAUACUAGAUUCACACAAGCUUCGUGGCAGAUGCCUUAGGACUGAUCUGUUCAACCUGGAAUGGAAAACGAUUUGCUUUUUUUUCCUUCCCACAGGGCAUAAGUCUUCCCUGUCUCUCUGUUGUGCUAGUGAAAGCAAAUUUCACCAGAAACUGAAUCCAUUUACAAAUAUUUUGAUAGAUUGAGACAGCUGCUCAGGAAAAAAGAAAGAUUAAACACAUGCAGUUAAGAUACAGUGUCACACGAACAGCUGUUGCAGAGACCCACAGCCUAUGUGGACUUCAUUUUAUUUAUGUCUUUUAAAGAUCAUGUGGGUUUCCCUGUAAAAUAGAAAUAAAGUGAGCACUAUUUCUGUUGGUAAUAAAUUAAAGAAAAAUCUCAGAUAAUUUAUCCUCCAAAAUGCACAGUCUUGACUGUUUUUACUUGUUUUGGCAGGAAGACAGAAAUGCAAAAUGUACAAGCACUGCUCUUGUAUACACUCACGUCUCAUUCUAUAGAUCUGGUUGGCAACUCCUUCUGAGGCUCUCAGUUUCUGACUGGAACAGGUCAUUAUGUGUGCACCUCAAUCCAUCACUUCCGAAGCAUCCUGUGAAGAAAUUGCCAUUAGAAACCAGUGUAGCGAAACCAACUACCUUCUAUCUAAAAGCAUGACUUGCAUUUUUGUAUCACAUCUCAUUCUUUUUAUUCCUAACAUUACCUAUCUAUCUGUAUAGUUACUUUCUGUAGCAGCAGAGAUCAUGCUGUAUCUAUUUUUACUGCACCAAUUACUGCUAUUUUAAGACUGUAUAGAAAUGUCUACAAAUAAAGAUUAGCUGAAAGUUCCCAAUGCUUUCCCAUUGCAACUGUCAUUUGAACCUUAUUAUAAAAGCCCGUACCUAUAGCAGUUAUAAUUGAUUGUUUUAAAUUCUGGACACCUGAACAGUGCAGUACUCAUGUUUCAAAUACCAGGAUCAGUCUACAAACAAAGGGCAACAGAUUUCAGAUGCAGCUGUUGCACUGAGUGACACAAACGGACAAAUUGCUUCUCCAUAAAUGCUACCAUUUACUAUACCUCUCUUGUCCAGGCUCCAUACUGAGUAAUCGCUAUCAGCACAAAACUGCGAUGCUUUACUGCAUAUACACAUUACAUUUUCUUACCUUUACAGAACUAGAGGUACAUAUUUUGACACAUAAAUGCACAUGCUUAAUCCAUCACUGGAAAAGAAAAUGUAAGUGAAGGAAAAUAACUCUCUGUACGUAUGUAUGUAUCACUGAGAGUUCAAACAAAUCUUCUUUUCAGGUGAUAAGACCACAAUACACAGGGAAAAACAAGCUAGUUCAAUAGGAUCAGAACUUAAACAGAAAAUGCAGGGUGCUCAGAUUACAGCAGUGAAGUAGCUGUGCAUGGUCAGAGCUGCAUUUCACGUGAGCUACCCUCUGUGACACUCAUCGGGUGAACAGGAAGGCUACCUCAGAGCUCUUCACCUGUUGACACCUGCCUGGUGGCGGCUGGAACAGGGCAGGACAAGGUAGGGUCCUGCAGUGCUGAACAGGCUGCUCGUCUUCAGACAAUCAGUACCGCAGGAUGUCUUUGCUCUUUUGAAUGUAAGAAGUCAUGCAGCACCCAGCAUGAGUCCAUAAAGAAUUUAGGGGUGAAGAAUUUAGGCUAGCUUGAAGGCAAAUCUCACAAGAGUAACAGUGCCAAGAGUUUUUAAAGAGGAAGCUUUUUGCCCCCUGACAAAAAGCUGAUAAUAAAAAUAACCUAUAAAUGCCCUAUUCAAAUGUAUAAGAUGUCUCUUAAUGCUUGUUGUUCUCCAAGAGCUUUUCUUGUCAAAUUCUACUUUGCAGCUAAUGAAAAAAAAUGUCUCCAGUGUUUCAUAAUGACAGGACACAGCUAGUUUAACACUGCUGAGGAUUAAGGAGGCCUUGAACACAGCAACGUUUGUUGUUUGCCACAUCAGAAAACAAAUGCCGAACCACUUCAUUCAGGGUCUUCUAUUCAUCAAUCUCUUAAAAAAAAAAAAAAAAGCAAAAAAGAAGGAGCAAAACAUCAGGACUAGAAAUAACACUGUGUGGAACAACAUUCUCAGCACUAGCGCCAGCUCACUGGGGAGCUGCUGCUUGUGAAGCGGUGUCCUGGGUUACCAUCAUGCAAAGCUCAGGGACUAUUUAGCCCAUAUUUUCUUCUACUUCAAAAGUUUAGUGGAGAGCAGCUAAGCUCAUCUUUAAGAAAUCUGCUCGUAGGGCUGGCCAUUGACAGCUAGAUUAUCUCUUUGUAUUAUUUUUCUUUUGAAAUUUUGUCAUUUGAUAACACAGUCCACUUUGCAUUUGCUGAGGUCAGUGGGAGUCUGACCUCUGAUUAAAAAGCUUUUUUUGCUCAGAGUCAAAAGACAAAAAGCACCUACAGUUUCACACGGGACUGUAGGAAAACAUAUCACGUCACGACGUGGACAACAAAGAG
Molecule: long non-coding RNA, 5421 nt
Organism: Gallus gallus (chicken)
Lineage: Eukaryota; Metazoa; Chordata; Aves; Galliformes; Phasianidae
Source: Ensembl